CGUUAGUUGGAGUGGUAACGGCACACCAAGACGAUGAUGGGUAGGGGUCCUGAGAGGGUUAUCCCCCACACUGGUACUGAGACACGGACCAGACUCCUACGGGAGGCAGCAGUAAGGAAUAUUGGGCAAUGGGCGGGAGCCUGACCCAGCCAUGCCGCGUGCAGGAAGACGGCCCUAUGGGUUGUAAACUGCUUUUGUUUGGGACUAACAGCCGGGUCGUGACCCGGCCUGCAGGUACCGAAUGAAUAAGCAUCGGCUAACUCCGUGCCAGCAGCCGCGGUAAUACGGAGGAUGCGAGCGUUAUCCGGAUUUAUUGGGUUUAAAGGGUGCGUAGGCUGGUAAUUAAGUCAGUGGUGAAAUACUCCGGCUCAACCGGAGGGCUGCCGUUGAUACUGGUUACCUUGAGUUUAGAUGAUGUGGGCGGAAUGUGUCAUGUAGCGGUGAAAUGCAUAGAGAUGACACAGAACACCGAUAGCGAAGGCAGCUCACAAAGCUAUUACUGACGCUGAUGCACGAAAGCGUGGGGAUCAAACAGGAUUAGAUACCCUGGUAGUCCACGCUGUAAACGAUGAUCACUAGCUGUAGGCGAUACACUGUCUGUGGCUAAGCGAAAGCGAUAAGUGAUCCGCCUGGGGGAGUACGUCCGCAAGGAUGAAACUCAAAGGAAUUGACGGGGGCCCGCACAAGCGGAGGAGCAUGUGGUUUAAUUCGAUGAUACGCGAGGAACCUUACCUGGGCUUGAACGUAUUAUUGCAUGAUUGUGAAAGCGAUCUUUCUAGCGAUAGACUACAUACGAGUGCUGCA
This 804-nucleotide ribosomal RNA is filed under the name uncultured bacterium. RNAcentral's name for it is "bacterial SSU rRNA". It matches the Rfam family "Bacterial small subunit ribosomal RNA", at positions 243 to 1045 of the family's 1533-position model. The record is from RNAcentral.